RNAcentral lists this ribosomal RNA (490 nucleotides) under uncultured bacterium. Its description in RNAcentral is "bacterial SSU rRNA". It matches the Rfam family "Bacterial small subunit ribosomal RNA", at positions 32 to 507 of the family's 1533-position model. The record is from RNAcentral.
AACAACGCUGGCGGCGUGUCUUAAGCAUGCAAGUUGAGCGGCAAGGAGGAGAGAUCCUCCCUAGAGCGGCGGACUGGUGAGUAACGCGUGGGUAAUCUAUCUUAGGCAGUGGGGAUAGUCACUAGAAAUAGUGGGUAAUACCGAAUAAGUUCCAUAAGGGGAGGACUUAUGGAAGAAAGGUGCUACGGCACUGGCCUUAGGUGAGCUCGCGUCCCAUUAGCUAGUUGGUGAGGUAAAGGCCCACCAAGGCGAUGAUGGGUAGCCGGCCUGAGAGGGUGUACGGCCACACUGGGACUGAGAUACGGCCCAGACUCCUACGGGAGGCAGCAGCUAAGAAUAUUCCGCAAUGGACGGAAGUCUGACGGAGCGACGCCGCGUGGAUGAAGAAGGCCGAAAGGUUGUAAAGUUCUUUUGCUAGGGGAGAAUAAGUGUGGGAGGGAAUGCCUGCACGAUGACAAGGACUAGCGAAUAAGUCCCGGCCAACUACGUG